Molecule: non-coding RNA, 306 nt
Organism: Pelobates cultripes (western spadefoot toad)
Lineage: Eukaryota; Metazoa; Chordata; Amphibia; Anura; Pelobatidae
Source: the annotation of a GenBank genome assembly
GCUUUGUUUCCCAAACAUGUUUUACAAUCCAUCCCAGAAUUCUUGGUAUACAGGAAACGGCAAUGAAAAAUGCAUGUGCAUUAGGAUCCGCAGUUGUGACCACAUUUAUUAUAACCCAAAUAAUUCUAAAAUAGUAAUUGUCACGAUUUCAAAGUGGAUUUUAAAUUUUAGGCCAGAGUAGCCAAACAGAAUGCAUAGCUGAUGCAAAUAUUUUUUUCCAAUUCGGCUAUUUUGACCUUAAAUUUAAAAUUCACUUUGAAUUUCCUCUGUAGUGAAUAACCUGUUUAGUGUUAUAAUCAUAUUCCC